Molecule: unclassified non-coding RNA, 248 nt
Filed under: Hevea brasiliensis (rubber tree)
Lineage: Eukaryota; Viridiplantae; Streptophyta; Magnoliopsida; Malpighiales; Euphorbiaceae
Source: RNAcentral
GGACAGUCCUAGUUCCUCCCCUACUUGAGCUGUUGAACCGUCAGAGUUCUUCAAGGGCAGGGGAAUAUCCAAUGUAACAGUUUUUCCAGCCUCAUCAAGAUCAAAUCUGCUGAGGGGAAGCACAAGGACAGCAGACUGCUUGAGUAAUGAGUUUAUACAAUGUAAAAGUAUACUUCCUUUUACCAAAUUCCCUUCAGGCUUCCCCCCCAAACCUCCAACGGAAGAUCCAUCCCAUGACCAUAGAAGUG